AUGUCGAGGAAGAGGAACAUAAUGCCGGAGGAAGGCAAUAACAAGUAUCAGCUCAAGGAGUUCUUGAUGGAGACGAUUGGCCAGAUCUUACUUGUAGCUUUUUUUGUGGGAAAGUCUUUGACUCCACAUUGUUGGGCUAAGUUAUAUUCGCAUCUCCGUUUUGGAUUAAAUCAAUUGAACCUACUGAAAAAAAAUCCUUUGGGAGUGUGA
Molecule: ribosomal RNA, 210 nt
Filed under: Triticum aestivum (bread wheat)
Lineage: Eukaryota; Viridiplantae; Streptophyta; Magnoliopsida; Poales; Poaceae
Description: partial small subunit ribosomal RNA
Source: RNAcentral